GUUUUUGUUUUGCUUGUCUGUUUGAGG
RNAcentral lists this non-coding RNA (27 nucleotides) under Cricetulus griseus (Chinese hamster). The record is from RNAcentral. Lineage: Eukaryota; Metazoa; Chordata; Mammalia; Rodentia; Cricetidae.